UGCCAGCAGCCGCGGUAAUACGUAGGUGGCAAGCGUUGUCCGGAAUUAUUGGGCGUAAAGCGCGCGCAGGCGGCCGUGCAAGUCCAUCUUAAAAGCGUGGGGCUUAACCCC
This 111-nucleotide ribosomal RNA is filed under the name uncultured bacterium. Its description in RNAcentral is "partial 16S rRNA". It matches the Rfam family "Bacterial small subunit ribosomal RNA", at positions 506 to 616 of the family's 1533-position model. The record is from RNAcentral.